This 201-nucleotide long non-coding RNA is filed under the name Gossypium barbadense (sea-island cotton). Its description in RNAcentral is "long non-coding RNA (GBAR_LNC018091)". The record is from RNAcentral. Lineage: Eukaryota; Viridiplantae; Streptophyta; Magnoliopsida; Malvales; Malvaceae.
UCUGAAAAUUUUAUGGUGGAAAGGUAUCUGAGUCUUUUUCAAAGACAUCAAGCAAAUUUUAAUUUGGAAUUUUGUAGCUUAAGAUAUAAAUAAUUUAGUAACAGUGACUCAAGUAGACAGCUUUGAAGGAACACAUAAGUAAAUAGUGAAAACAUAUAUGAAUAUUUAGCUAGCACGAGUUACAUUAAAAAUGGAUCACGC